Molecule: non-coding RNA, 1072 nt
Organism: Microcebus murinus (gray mouse lemur)
Lineage: Eukaryota; Metazoa; Chordata; Mammalia; Primates; Cheirogaleidae
Source: RefSeq, a predicted model, not a curated record
GGCGCCGCCGCUGCGCAGCCGGGAAAUGGUUCGGGCCUAGCGGAGCCGGGACUGGAGCAACAUGAACCGUGAAGACCGGAAUGUGCUGCGUAUGAAAGAACGGGAAAGGCGGAAUCAGGAAAUUCAGCAGGGUGAAGACGCCUUCCCACCUAGCUCUCCUCUCUUUGCUGAGCCGUACAAAGUGACUAGCAAAGAAGAUAAGUUAUCAAGUCGUAUUCAGAGUAUGCUUGGAAACUACGAUGAAAUGAAGGAUUUCAUAGGAGACAGAGCUAUACCAAAGCUUGUUGCAAUUCCCAAGUCUACAGUACCACCGACAGCAGAUGAAAAAUCUAACCCAAAUUUCUUUGAACAGAGACAUGGAGGCUCUCAUCAGAGUAGCAAAUGGACUCCAGUAGGACCUGCACCCAGUACUUCUCAGUCUCAGAAACGGUCCUCAGGCUUACAGAGUGGACAUAGUAGCCAACGGACCAGUGCAGGUGGCAGUAGUGGCAUUAACAGUAGUAGCCAGUGGCAUGACCGCGACUCAUAUAGCAGUAGUGGGAGUAGUAGCCGUAAAAAAGGCCAGCAUGGAUCAGAAUACUCCAAAGCACGCUCUUCCAGCCCUGGAAAACCCCAGGCUGUUUCUUCACUAAGUUCCAGUCAUUCCAGGUCUCAUGGGAAUGAUCACCAUAGCAAGGAACACCAGCGUUCCAAGUCACCUCGGGACCCUGAUGCAAACUGGGAUUCUCCUUCCCGUGUACCCUUUUCCAGUGGGCAGCACUCAAGCCAGUCUUUCCCACCUUCGCUGAUGUCGAAGUCCAGUUCGAUGUUGCAGAAGCCCACUGCCUACGUGCGGCCCAUGGAUGGACAGGAGUCCAUGGAACCAAAGCUGUCCUCUGAGCACUACAGUAGCCAAUCCCAUGGCAACAGCAUGACUGAGCUGAAGCCCAGCACCAAGGCACAUCUCACCAAGCUGAAAAUACCUUCACAGCCACUGGAUGUAAGUCACACUUAGCAUUGUGAUUGUGUGAAGCAGUAGACUGUGAAAUUAGGAUUGAACUCGAACCGCCCUUUGCCUUACUAGUAAAGAGUA